AAACUUUCAACAAUGGAUCUCUUGGCUCUCGCAUUGAUGAAGAACGCAGCGAAAUGCGAUAAGUAAUAUGAAUUGCAGAAUUCCGUGAAUCAUCAAAUUUUUGAACGCAAAUUGCACUUCUUGGUAUUCCAAGGAGUACACAUGCUUGAGGGUCAGUU
RNAcentral lists this ribosomal RNA (158 nucleotides) under Gigaspora margarita. RNAcentral's name for it is "5.8S ribosomal RNA". It matches the Rfam family "5.8S ribosomal RNA". Rfam says of the family: 5.8S ribosomal RNA (5.8S rRNA) is a component of the large subunit of the eukaryotic ribosome. The record is from RNAcentral. Lineage: Eukaryota; Fungi; Glomeromycota; Glomeromycetes; Diversisporales; Gigasporaceae.